Molecule: transfer RNA, 67 nt
Filed under: Marmota monax (woodchuck)
Lineage: Eukaryota; Metazoa; Chordata; Mammalia; Rodentia; Sciuridae
Description: tRNA.Cys
Source: RNAcentral
GGAGGCAUAACUCAGUGGUAGAGUAUGCUUAGCAUGAGCAAGGUCUUGGGUUCAAUUCCCAGCACCA